Molecule: ribosomal RNA, 466 nt
Filed under: uncultured bacterium
Lineage: Bacteria
Description: partial 16S ribosomal RNA
Rfam family: Bacterial small subunit ribosomal RNA
Source: RNAcentral
GAUGAACGCUGGCGGCGUGCUUAACACAUGCAAGUCGAACGAUGAAGCCCAGCUUGCUGGGUGGAUUAGUGGCGAACGGGUGAGUAACACGUGAGUAACCUACCCUUAACUCUGGGAUAAGCCUGGGAAACUGGGUCUAAUACCGGAUAGGAGCGUCCACCGCAUGGUGGGUGUUGGAAAGAUUUAUCGGUUUUGGAUGGACUCGCGGCCUAUCAGCUUGUUGGUGAGGUAAUGGCUCGCCAAGGCGACGACGGGUAGCCGGCCUGAGAGGGUGACCGGCCACACUGGGACUGAGACACGGCCCAGACUCCUACGGGAGGCAGCAGUGGGGAAUAUUGCACAAUGGGCGCAAGCCUGAUGCAGCGACGCCGCGUGAGGGAUGACGGCCUUCGGGUUGUAAACCUCUUUCAGUAGGGAAGAAGCGAAAGUGACGGUACCUGCAGAAGAAGCACCGGCUAACUACGUG